Molecule: ribosomal RNA, 231 nt
Filed under: uncultured bacterium
Lineage: Bacteria
Description: partial 16S ribosomal RNA
Rfam family: Bacterial small subunit ribosomal RNA
Source: RNAcentral
CGGGUGAGUAACGCGUGGAUAACCUGCCUCACACUGGGGGAUAACAGUUAGAAAUGGCUGCUAAUACCGCAUAAGCGCACAGUACCGCAUGGUACGGUGUGAGAAACCCAGGUGGUGUGAGAUGGAUCCGCGUCUGAUUAGCCAGUUGGCGGGGUAACGGCCCACCAAAGCGACGAUCAGUAGCCGACCUGAGAGGGUGACCGGCCACAUUGGGACUGAGACACGGCCCAA